GUAUGUGGAUGGAACUCCGUCCGGAUUUGAGAUGGUUCUUGUUGAGUUGCUGGGGUGGAUCCUCCUGCCUCAGCCUCCCAAGUAGCUGGGAUUACAUUUGUUUGCCACCAUGCCUGGCUCAAAUGUGUUUCAUUUUGAUGAAAUUUAUUUUUCAAGUUUUUCUUUCAUUCGUUGCUUAUGUUGUGGCCGUAUGCAGAAAAUGCUUCCCAGCCUGAGGUCACAAAUACUUAAGCUUUGUUCCUUCAUGAAGUUUUAUCAUUUUAGUUUUUAUAUAAGUCUUGAGAUCCAUUGUACCUCAGUGGUGGUUGUGGAGGGAGCAUGUGGAUUCCUGGCUCUGCAUGUGGAGGACCAGCUCCCUGUUAAAAGACCUUCUGUUUCCACGCAUCUCGCUCAUGCCUUCUGCUUCCCACCCUCCAUCGGGUUUCUAGGACUAUGAUGCUGGCAUUUCCACUCCCACAGCUCUGCCUUUCAUGGAGGCUUAAAGUUCGAUUUUAUUUAUUUACGAUGUUAGAGAAAUGAAGAUGUAAGUAUGCUGCUGCUUUGCUUUUCUGGCUUUUUCCAUGUGGUUGAGUUGAGUUUUGCAGUUUAUUUUUCAGAUCCGAGUCUCAUGUCCAUCAUGUUAUUAUUACCUGCUUUCUUGCCUUGGUCCAUUUCUAGAGCAAAGCCAUUUUUGAUUAUUUAAGAUGAUAGCUCUUCCUGAUUAGAUUUCAGUUUUGUUGGAACCAUGUUUUGUUUUUCUGCAUCUGUGCUAAUUUUCUUCAAUUUCAAAGUCAAGCAACUUCAACUUUUAAAUAUAAUUUUCACUUAGAAACCUAGUGCAUCGUCACUGGCAGUGUGGUCUGCACCGUGCGUGGCAUCUGGGAAGCACCAAAGUGCAUGCACGAGGUUUGCUUAUUAAGGAAAGUGAGUAGACUGCCAUGGGGUGUGAGUGGGCACAGACUCUUCAGUUGUAUAAAGCACAGUCUUCCCGUCUUAGCACAGUAGUGGCCUUCCUGGGUUUGACCCCUUGCAGGUGAUGGGAAGCAGUUGUCACUUUUUUCUCAGUCUCUGGUGUUGCAGAGCCUGCCUGUGGAUCUUUCACUCUGCUUUCAGAUCACUCAACAAAUAUCUUAAAUAGUUAAUUUCAGAUUUAAUAUUCCAUCAGGCCAGGUGUGGCAGACACCUGUAAUCCCAGUGGCUCCAGAGGCUAAGGUAGAAGGAUCAAAAGUUCAAGGCCAGCCUCAGCAACUUAGCAAGGCU
This 1239-nucleotide long non-coding RNA is filed under the name Marmota monax (woodchuck). The record is from RNAcentral. Lineage: Eukaryota; Metazoa; Chordata; Mammalia; Rodentia; Sciuridae.